This 497-nucleotide ribosomal RNA is filed under the name uncultured bacterium. RNAcentral describes it as "partial 16S ribosomal RNA". It matches the Rfam family "Bacterial small subunit ribosomal RNA", at positions 28 to 507 of the family's 1533-position model. The record is from RNAcentral.
GAUGAACGCUGGCGGCGUGCCUAAUACAUGCAAGUCGCGCGAACAGACGAGGAGCUUGCUCCUCUGACGUUAGCGGCGGACGGGUGAGUAACACGUGGAUAACCUACCUAUAAGACUGGGAUAACUUCGGGAAACCGGAGCUAAUACCGGAUAACAUGUUGAACCGCAUGGUUCAACAGUGAAAGACGGUUUUGCUGUCACUUAUAGAUGGAUCCGCGUCGCAUUAGCUAGUUGGUAAGGUAACGGCUUACCAAGGCAACGAUGCGUAGCCGACCUGAGAGGGGGGUCGGCCACAGUGGAACUGAGACACGGGCCGGACUCCUAGGGGAGGCAGCAGGAGGGAAUCUUCCGCAAGGGGGGAAGGCCUGAGGGAGCACGGCGGGGUGAGUGAAGAGGGUCUACGGACCGUAAAACUGUGUUAUAAGGGAAGAAAAAAGGUGUACGUAAUUAUGCACGUCUGGACGGUACCUAAUAAGAAAGCAACGGCUACGUCCGGG